AUGGUCUGGACUCCUCUCCUUCUCAUGCUCCCCUCUCAUUGCACAGGUUCCCACUCCCAGCCUGUGCUGACUCAACCACCCUCCCUCUCCGCCUCUCCUGGAGCAUCUGCCAGAUUCACCUGCACCCUGAGCAGUGAUUUCAGUGUUGGUGACUACUGGAUAAAAUGGUACCAGCAGAAUCCUGAGAGCCCGCCUUGGUUUCUCCUGAACUACUACUCAGAGUCAAAUAAGCAGCAAGGAUCCAGACUCCCCAGUCACUUCUCUGGAUCCAAGGACACCUUGGCCAGUGCAGGUGUUCUACACAUCGCUGGGCUGCAGCCUGUGGACGAGGCUGACUAUUUCUGUGCUAUAGCACAUAGUAAUGUUUAUCACAGUGACACAGGCUGUGGGGGAAGUGGAACAAAAUCUUCACAGACCACAG
Tupaia belangeri chinensis (Chinese tree shrew) is the source of this 421-nucleotide non-coding RNA. Lineage: Eukaryota; Metazoa; Chordata; Mammalia; Scandentia; Tupaiidae. The record is from the annotation of a RefSeq genome assembly.